Long non-coding RNA from Erpetoichthys calabaricus (reedfish), 670 nucleotides. RefSeq lists it as uncharacterized. The transcript is spliced from 3 exons. NCBI's taxonomy places the organism in Eukaryota, Metazoa, Chordata, Cladistia, Polypteriformes, Polypteridae. The record is from RefSeq and is a predicted model, not a curated record.
CUGUUUCUCUGCAUACAGAUCUUACACUGCAGGGAGUCACAGACUGUGCCCUGCUGACAAGGCAGAAGAGCUCAGAAGGCUAAAUGAGAUGCAUGCAUAUGUGAGACAGAGGGAGAGAGAUGAAGGAGGUGUGUGAAGAAGAGAAAAUGAAAUGAAGUGAACGAGCAUUAAGUCUCUGGGAGUUCUUUAUGGGGACUGGGCAGCAACCGUGGGAGAUUUAAGGAGUCAAGACACAGAGGAGGUCAGAGUCAGCAUUGCGAAAGGAGAGACUGGGUAUGGUAGAGGGGACCUCGAAUGCCACAUGGGCUGGAUGGGCAUCCCGGCCAAAAGAGGGGAUGGUUCCUUACCCGGACGGAAGGCUCCUGACAGGCAGAUAGGCAUCCCAGCCGGGGUGGAGAAAGGGAUCAGACCUGGAAGGAAGGACCAGAAGGGAUGGACGGACAGCCCACUGAAAAGAGAAGAUGUUGCUGGUGGUUUUUCACUCCCCCAGCAUGCUAGAUGGCAGCUGCCCUGGAUAUCAGUGCCCAGUGGGAAGCCAGCACGGCAUGCCGAGGAUGUAGUCUGGCAGAGCAGUCAAGCUGAGGUCACUGGGUGCUGCAAGAGGGUGCUACAGGGAGACAAGCUCUCUGUUAUAAUGGACUUUCACAUGUCCAUUCCAUCGCGCAUUCGC